RNAcentral lists this ribosomal RNA (1146 nucleotides) under Citrobacter amalonaticus. RNAcentral's name for it is "bacterial SSU rRNA". It matches the Rfam family "Bacterial small subunit ribosomal RNA", at positions 39 to 1179 of the family's 1533-position model. The record is from RNAcentral. Lineage: Bacteria; Pseudomonadati; Pseudomonadota; Gammaproteobacteria; Enterobacterales; Enterobacteriaceae.
GGGGCUGCGCAGCUACACUUGCAGUCGUACAGGUAACCACAGAAGCUUGCUGCUUUGCUGACGAGUGGCGGACGGGUGAGUAAUGUCUGGGAAACUGCCCGAUGGAGGGGGAUAACUACUGGAAACGGUAGCUAAUACCGCAUAAUGUCGCAAGACCAAAGAGGGGGACCUUCGGGCCUCUUGCCAUCGGAUGUGCCCAGAUGGGAUUAGCUAGUUGGUGAGGUAACGGCUCACCAAGGCGACGAUCCCUAGCUGGUCUGAGAGGAUGACCAGCCACACUGGAACUGAGACACGGUCCAGACUCCUACGGGAGGCAGCAGUGGGGAAUAUUGCACAAUGGGCGCAAGCCUGAUGCAGCCAUGCCGCGUGUAUGAAGAAGGCCUUCGGGUUGUAAAGUACUUUCAGCGGGGAGGAAGGGGUUAAGGUUAAUAACCUUAGCCAUUGACGUUACCCGCAGAAGAAGCACCGGCUAACUCCGAGCCAGCAGCCGCGGUAAUACGGAGGGUGCAAGCGUUAAUCGGAAUUACUGGGCGUAAAGCGCACGCAGGCGGUCUGUCAAGUCGGAUGUGAAAUCCCCGGGCUCAACCUGGGAACUGCAUUCGAAACUGGCAGGCUUGAGUCUCGUAGAGGGGGGUAGAAUUCCAGGUGUAGCGGUGAAAUGCGUAGAGAUCUGGAGGAAUACCGGUGGCGAAGGCGGCCCCCUGGACGAAGACUGACGCUCAGGUGCGAAAGCGUGCGGAGCAGACAGGAUUAGAUACCCUGGUAGUCCACGCCGUAAACGAUGUCUAUUUGGAGGUUGUGCCCUUGAGGCGUGGCUUCCGGAGCUAACGCGUUAAAUAGACCGCCUGGGGAGUACGGCCGCAAGGUUAAAACUCAAAUGAAUUGACGGGGGCCCGCACAAGCGGUGGAGCAUGUGGUUUAAUUCGAUGCAACGCGAAGAACCUUACCUGGUCUUGACAUCCACAGAACUUGGCAGAAAUGCCUUGGUGCCUUCGGGAACUGUGAGACAGGUGCUGCAUGGCUGUCGUCAGCUCGUGUGUGAAAGGUGGGUUAAGUCCGCAACGAACGCAACCCUUAUCCUUUGUUGCCAGCGGUCCGGCCGGGAACUCAAAGGAUACUGCCGUGAUAAACUGGAGAAAGUGGGGA